AAGGGAGCUUGCUCCCGGAUGUUAGCGGCGGACGGGUGAGUAACACGUGGGUAACCUGCCUGUAAGACUGGGAUAACUCCGGGAAACCGGAGCUAAUACCGGAUAGUUCCUUGAACCGCAUGGUUCAAGGAUGAAAGACGGUUUCGGCUGUCACUUACAGAUGGACCCGCGGCGCAUUAGCUAGUUGGUGGGGUAAUGGCUCACCAAGGCGACGAUGCGUAGCCGACCUGAGAGGGUGAUCGGCCACACUGGGACUGAGACACGGCCCAGACUCCUACGGGAGGCAGCAGUAGGGAAUCUUCCGCAAUGGACGAAAGUCUGACGGAGCAACGCCGCGUGAGUGAUGAAGGUUUUCGGAUCGUAAAGCUCUGUUGUUAGGGAAGAACAAGUGCGAGAGUAACUGCUCGCACCUUGACGGUACCUAACCAGAAAGCCACGGCUAACUACGUGCCAGCAGCCGCGGUAAUACGUAGGUGGCAAGCGUUGUCCGGAAUUAUUGGGCGUAAAGGGCUCGCAGGCGGUUUCUUAAGUCUGAUGUGAAAGCCCCCGGCUCAACCGGGGAGGGUCAUUGGAAACUGGGAAACUUGAGUGCAGAAGAGGAGAGUGGAAUUCCACGUGUAGCGGUGAAAUGCGUAGAGAUGUGGAGGAACACCAGUGGCGAAGGCGACUCUCUGGUCUGUAACUGACGCUGAGGAGCGAAAGCGUGGGGAGCGAACAGGAUUAGAUACCCUGGUAGUCCACGCCGUAAACGAUGAGUGCUAAGUGUUAGGGGGUUUCCGCCCCUUAGUGCUGCAGCUAACGCAUUAAGCACUCCGCCUGGGGAGUACGGUCGCAAGACUGAAACUCAAAGGAAUUUGACGGGGGCCCGCACAAGCGGUGGAGCAUGUGGUUUAA
RNAcentral lists this ribosomal RNA (894 nucleotides) under Bacillus safensis. RNAcentral's name for it is "bacterial SSU rRNA". It matches the Rfam family "Bacterial small subunit ribosomal RNA", at positions 72 to 949 of the family's 1533-position model. Lineage: Bacteria; Bacillati; Bacillota; Bacilli; Caryophanales; Bacillaceae. The record is from RNAcentral.